UGAGCAAUCCAGACGGUCGCGCGGCGUUUUUCGCCGUGAGGAAAGUCCGGGCUCCGCAGAGCAUGGGUGCCGGAUAACGUCCGGCGCGGGCAACCGUAGGGAAAGUGCAACAGAAACACACCGCCGAAACAGGGGCUCCGGCCCGCUGUGGCAAGGGUGAAAUGGUGCGGUAAGAGCGCACCGGCGUUCCCGGAGACGGGGCGGCCGUGUAAACCCCACCCGGAGCAAGGUCGAUAGGGAUGGCCCGGCGCCGCACGCCGGACGGCUGCUCGUCGUAUCCCUUACAGGCGGACCGCAGGCGGACGGCGAUUUCGCCCGUCCCGGAGGUCGCCGGAAACGGCGGCCCCAGAUAGAUGACCGUCGCCUGCCCGAUCGGGCGGGACACAGAACCCGGCUUACGGGUUGCUCA
This 409-nucleotide RNase P RNA is filed under the name Eubacteriales Family XIII. Incertae Sedis bacterium. RNAcentral's name for it is "RNase P RNA component class A". It matches the Rfam family "Bacterial RNase P class A". Rfam says of the family: Ribonuclease P (RNase P) is a ubiquitous endoribonuclease, found in archaea, bacteria and eukarya as well as chloroplasts and mitochondria. Its best characterised activity is the generation of mature 5'-ends of tRNAs by cleaving the 5'-leader elements of precursor-tRNAs. The record is from RNAcentral. Lineage: Bacteria; Bacillati; Bacillota; Clostridia; Peptostreptococcales; Anaerovoracaceae.